UGGCAUCAUUAUGCAUCUCUUGAUGGAUUGUUCAAGUCAAGAAAGCAUCAUAAUUUGUUGCAUAUAUACGGAAAUGUUUUUUUGUUGGUCACAUUUGGCUGUAAUUCCAUAGUUCUUGAUAUGAUAUCGACCUGUGUAAGCAGCAAGAAAGAAACUUGUCUGAGCUAUGAUCAUUUACCAUGAUAUGGAACAACAUGAUCCUUCGUGGGAAAAUCAAGCCAUUGUCUAUUGAUCAAAAAACCCUAGCAGGAAGAAGAAUUGGAUGUGCUCCUGCC
Molecule: long non-coding RNA, 275 nt
Filed under: Elaeis guineensis (African oil palm)
Lineage: Eukaryota; Viridiplantae; Streptophyta; Magnoliopsida; Arecales; Arecaceae
Description: long non-coding RNA (EGUI_LNC006226)
Source: RNAcentral